Molecule: unclassified non-coding RNA, 323 nt
Filed under: soil metagenome
Description: partial contains 5.8S ribosomal RNA, internal transcribed spacer 2, and large subunit ribosomal RNA
Rfam family: 5.8S ribosomal RNA (bases 1-120)
Source: RNAcentral
GAUGAAGAACGUAGCGAAAUGCGAUAAGUAGUGUGAAUUGCAGAAUUCAGUGAAUCAUCGAAUCUUUGAACGCACAUUGCGCCCCUUGGUAUUCCAUGGGGCAUGCCUGUUCGAGCGUCAUUUGUACCUUCAAGCUUUGCUUGGUGUUGGGUGUUUGUCCUGAGGGACUCGCCUUAAAGUAAUUGGCAGCCAGUGUUUGGUUUUGAAGCGCAGCACAAGUCGCGAUUCAAGGCUAUACACCAGCUUCCACAAGCCUUUUUCACUUUUGACCUCGGAUCAGGUAGGGAUACCCGCUGAACUUAAGCAUAUCAAUAAGCGGAAGA